This 381-nucleotide ribosomal RNA is filed under the name uncultured bacterium. RNAcentral describes it as "bacterial SSU rRNA". It matches the Rfam family "Bacterial small subunit ribosomal RNA", at positions 30 to 412 of the family's 1533-position model. The record is from RNAcentral.
AUUGAACGCUGGCGGCAUGCCUUACACAUGCAAGUCGAACGGCAGCACGGGGGCAACCCUGGUGGCGAGUGGCGAACGGGUGAGUAACAUAUCGGAACGUGCCCUGGAGUGGGGGAUAACUAGUCGAAAGAUUAGCUAAUACCGCAUACGAUCUACGGAUGAAAGUGGGGGAUCGCAAGACCUCAUGCUCGUGGAGCGGCCGAUAUCUGAUUAGCUAGUUGGGGGGUAAAGGCCUACCAAGGCAUCGAUCAGUAGCUGGUCUGAGAGGACGACCAGCCACACUGGGACUGAGACACGGCCCAGACUCCUACGGGAGGCAGCAGUGGGGAAUUUUGGACAAUGGGCGCAAGCCUGAUCCAGCAAUGCCGCGUGAGUGAAGAA